RNAcentral lists this ribosomal RNA (468 nucleotides) under uncultured bacterium. RNAcentral describes it as "partial 16S ribosomal RNA". It matches the Rfam family "Bacterial small subunit ribosomal RNA", at positions 28 to 507 of the family's 1533-position model. The record is from RNAcentral.
GACGAACGCUGGCGGCGUGCUUAACACAUGCAAGUCGAACGGAAAGGCCCUGCUUUUGUGGGGUGCUCGAGUGGCGAACGGGUGAGUAACACGUGAGUAACCUGCCCUUGACUUUGGGGUAACUUCAGGAAACUGGGGCUAAUACCGGAUAGGAGCUCCUGCUGCAUGGUGGGGGUUGGAAAGUUUCGGCGGUUGGGGAUGGACUCGCGGCUUAUCAGCUUGUUGGUGGGGUAGUGGCUUACCAAGGCUUUGACGGGUAGCCGGCCUGUGAGGGUGACCGGCCACAUUGGGACUGAGAUACGGCCCAAACUCCUACGGGAGGCAGCAGUGGGGAAUAUUGCACAAUGGGCGGAAGCCUGAUGCAGCAACGCCGCGUGCGGGAUGACGGCCUUCGGGUUGUAAACCGCUUUCGCCUGUGACGAAGCGUGAGUGACGGUAAUGGGUAAAGAAGCACCGGCUAACUACGUG